AUGGCACCGCCGCGACACGUGUGCGUGACCGGCGGCGGCGGGUUCAUCGCCUCGUGGCUCGUCAAGCUGCUCCUCUCCCGGGGCUACGCCGUCCACGCCACGCUCCGCGACCCAUGUGAUCCCAAGAACGCCCAUCUGAUGCUGCUGGACGGGGCGGCGGAGAACCUGCGGCUGUUCAAGGCCGACGUGCUCGACCGCGCCGCGCUGGCCGCCGCCGUCGAGGGGUGCGAGGGCGUCUUCCAUGUCGCGACCCCUGUGCCCGUGGAUAAGCUCGUCGAUCCUGAGUCGGAAGUAAUUAUGCCUGCUGUCAAGGGCACCUCGAAUAUUCUAGAAGUUUGUUCAACUAUGAAGGUUCAGAAAGUUGUGGUGGUGUCAUCCACUGCUUCUGUUCAUUUCAACCCGAACUGGCCUCAGGAUAAACCCAAAGAUGAGAGUUGCUGGUCGGACAAAAACGUGUGCAUGGAAAAUGAGCUUUGGUACUUUCUUGCAAAAACUGUUGCUGAAGAGACAUCCUGGGAAUAUGCAGAAAAGAAUGGGCUAGACAUCGUAACAGUAUGCCCUUGUAUUGUUUUUGGUCCACAACUACAACCUGUUGUCAAUACCACCAGCGAACUUCUUCUCUAUCUUAUAAAAGGAGGUCCUAACGCGAUGAACGACGUGAUGUGGGAGAUAGUCGAUGUCCGUGAUGUGGCUGAUGCUUUGCUUCUGGUAUACGAGAAACCAGAAUCAUCUGGAAGAUAUAUCAGUGCACCAAAUUACAUUACCACAAAAGCCAUGGUGGAAUUGCUAAGGAAGGCGCACCCUAACUACAAUUACGUGAAGUGCAAGACUGAUGUGGAACAUAACUCUCCCAUCUCACUGACCUCGUCGGAAAAAUUGAGAAAUCUGGGUUGGAAGCCAAGGAAAUUGGAGGAGACGCUCCUGGAUAGCAUCGAAUACUACCAGAAGACGGGGCUUCUGCAGGAUGCCGAUGGAGAGGGAUACUCGUACCACCUUCCUGAAAUGUUCAGCUUUUUUCAUGCUGCCGAGUAA
This 1032-nucleotide ribosomal RNA is filed under the name Triticum aestivum (bread wheat). Its description in RNAcentral is "partial small subunit ribosomal RNA". The record is from RNAcentral. Lineage: Eukaryota; Viridiplantae; Streptophyta; Magnoliopsida; Poales; Poaceae.